Molecule: transfer RNA, 76 nt
Filed under: Candidatus Improbicoccus pseudotrichonymphae
Lineage: Bacteria; Bacillati; Bacillota; Clostridia
Description: tRNA-Lys
Rfam family: tRNA
About the family: Transfer RNA (tRNA) molecules are approximately 80 nucleotides in length.
Source: RNAcentral
GCACUAUUAGCUCAGUUGGUAGAGCACCUGACUCUUAAUCAGGGUGUCCAGGGUUCGAGUCCCUGAUAGUGUACCA